RNAcentral lists this microRNA precursor (61 nucleotides) under Gyrodactylus salaris (gyrodactylosis fluke). RNAcentral's name for it is "microRNA gsa-mir-278 precursor". Its record names the gene gsa-mir-278. Lineage: Eukaryota; Metazoa; Platyhelminthes; Monogenea; Gyrodactylidea; Gyrodactylidae. The record is from miRBase by way of RNAcentral.
ACAAGGGUCCUUCAACCGCUAAGUACCCAACAUUUGGUACUCGGUGGGAGUAUUUUUGUAC